AUGUCCAACCUUAAGGUUCUCGUUCUGUAUUUCGAAGUCGUUCCGAGAGAGCCGGUAGCCAUCAGAGGUGGAGGGUUUCCCAGGCUUAUGAAACUCACUAUUUACAGUCGAGUGCCACGGGUGUUCUUCCAGGAAGGAGCUAUGCCCAUGCUUGAAUGGCUUGUUAUCGUGUUCCAGUUCUAUGCUGGCCCACCAAAUAGAGAUCCUGUCGGUAUCAAUCAUCUCACGAAACUCAGCGUAGUCGAGAUUCGCUGUGAAGAGAAAUGGUACAGCACAGACACCCCGUGCAUCAGCGCCACAAUUGACGUCCUUAGAGAAGAAGCAUGGGAGCAUCGCAACGAUGUGUUAUUUUCUGUCACUGCUUACAGUUCAGGGACUUACGCAGCGAACAAAAAUAGUGCAGAUAUUUUGGAAGAGGUCAAUGACGCUUGCAGCAGUGAGACGGGCGAGUUCGAACGAGGAGGAGAGCAGCAGCAGGGUGAGAUGGAGGAAGAGGGGAGCCAGGCAUAA
This 510-nucleotide ribosomal RNA is filed under the name Triticum aestivum (bread wheat). Its description in RNAcentral is "partial small subunit ribosomal RNA". Lineage: Eukaryota; Viridiplantae; Streptophyta; Magnoliopsida; Poales; Poaceae. The record is from RNAcentral.